This 118-nucleotide ribosomal RNA is filed under the name Russulaceae sp. A.Becerra 11. RNAcentral's name for it is "partial 28S ribosomal RNA". It matches the Rfam family "Eukaryotic large subunit ribosomal RNA", at positions 1 to 117 of the family's 3401-position model. The record is from RNAcentral. Lineage: Eukaryota; Fungi; Basidiomycota; Agaricomycetes; Russulales; Russulaceae.
UUGACCUCAAAUCGGGUGAGACUACCCGCUGAACUUAAGCAUAUCAAUAAGCGGAGGAAAAGAAACUAACAAGGAUUCCCCUAGUAACUGCGAGUGAAGCGGGAAAAGCUCAAAUUUA